This 494-nucleotide ribosomal RNA is filed under the name uncultured bacterium. RNAcentral describes it as "partial 16S ribosomal RNA". It matches the Rfam family "Bacterial small subunit ribosomal RNA", at positions 28 to 507 of the family's 1533-position model. The record is from RNAcentral.
GACGAACGCUGGCGGCGUGCUUAACACAUGCAAGUCGAACGGUGAAGCGCCUUCCUUUUUGGUGGGUGUGGAUGAGUGGCGAACGGGUGAGUAACACGUGAGUAACCUGCCCCCUUCUUCUGGAUAACCGCAUGAAAGUGUGGCUAAUACGGGAUAUUCUGGGUCUGUCGCAUGAUGGGUCUGGGAAAGAUAUUGUUUCGGUGGGGGAUGGGCUCGCGGCCUAUCAGCUUGUUGGUGGGGUGAUGGCCUACCAAGGCGGUGACGGGUAGCCGGCCUGAGAGGGUGGACGGUCACACUGGGACUGAGACCCGGCCCAGACUCCUACGGGAGGCAGCAGUGGGGAUUAUUGCACAAUGGGCGCCAGCCUGAUGCAGCGACGCCGCGUGAGGGAUGGAGGCCUUCGGGUUGUGAACCUCUUUCGCCAGUGAAGCAGGCCUGCCUCGUUUGUGGGUGGGUUGACGGUAGCUGGAUAAGAAGCGCCGGCUAACUACGUG